GGUUCUGUAGUGUAGCGGUCAUCACUCCGGAUUCUGAUUGGACUUAUCGUCAGAAUCCUUCCGGCAACCCCGGUUCGAAUCCGGGCAGGACCU
This is a non-coding RNA of Trematosphaeria pertusa, 93 nucleotides long. The record is from the annotation of a RefSeq genome assembly. Lineage: Eukaryota; Fungi; Ascomycota; Dothideomycetes; Pleosporales; Trematosphaeriaceae.